Non-coding RNA from Xylariaceae sp. FL1651, 89 nucleotides. Lineage: Eukaryota; Fungi; Ascomycota; Sordariomycetes; Xylariales; Xylariaceae. The record is from the annotation of a GenBank genome assembly.
GGCCGCGUGGCUUAAUGGCAUAGCGCUUGACUACGAUCGCAACAUAGAGUGUAAUCAAGAGAUUCUGGGUUCGAUCCCCAGCGUGGUCA